Molecule: ribosomal RNA, 492 nt
Filed under: uncultured bacterium
Lineage: Bacteria
Description: partial 16S ribosomal RNA
Rfam family: Bacterial small subunit ribosomal RNA
Source: RNAcentral
AGUGAACGCUGGCGGUAGGCCUAACACAUGCAAGUCGAACGGCAGCACAGUAAGAGCUUGCUCUUACGGGUGGCGAGUGGCGGACGGGUGAGGAAUACAUCGGAAUCUACUUUUUCGUGGGGGAUAACGUAGGGAAACUUACGCUAAUACCGCAUACGACCUACGGGUGAAAGCAGGGGAUCUUCGGACCUUGCGCGAUUGAAUGAGCCGAUGUCGGAUUAGCUAGUUGGCGGGGUAAAGGCCCACCAAGGCGACGAUCCGUAGCUGGUCUGAGAGGAUGAUCAGCCACACUGGAACUGAGACACGGUCCAGACUACUACGGGAGGCAGCAGUGGGGAAUAUUGGACAAUGGGCGCAAGCCUGAUCCAGCCAUACCGCGUGGGUGAAGAAGGCCUUCGGGUUGUAAAGACCUUUUGUUGGGAAAGAAAAGCAGCAGGUUAAUACCCCGCUGUUCUGACGGUACCCAAAGAAUAAGCACCGGCUAACUUCGUG